This 253-nucleotide ribosomal RNA is filed under the name uncultured bacterium. RNAcentral's name for it is "partial 16S ribosomal RNA". It matches the Rfam family "Bacterial small subunit ribosomal RNA", at positions 524 to 776 of the family's 1533-position model. The record is from RNAcentral.
UACGGGGGGGGCAAGCGUUGCUCGGAAUUACUGGGCGUAAAGGGCGCGUAGGCGGCACUGUUAGUCAGGCGUGAAAGUCCUGGGCUCAACCUGGGAACUGCGCUUGAUACGGCAGAGCUAGAGGAUGGAAGAGGGUCGCGGAAUUCCCAGUGUAGAGGUGAAAUUCGUAGAUAUUGGGAAGAACACCGGUGGCGAAGGCGGCGACCUGGUCCAUUACUGACGCUGAGGCGCGACAGCGUGGGGAGCAAACAGG